This 253-nucleotide ribosomal RNA is filed under the name uncultured bacterium. Its description in RNAcentral is "partial 16S ribosomal RNA". It matches the Rfam family "Bacterial small subunit ribosomal RNA", at positions 524 to 776 of the family's 1533-position model. The record is from RNAcentral.
UACGGAGGGUGCGAGCGUUGUCCGGAAUCAUUGGGCGUAAAGGGCGCGUAGGUGGCCCGGUCAGUCAGUGGUGAAAGCGCGGGGCUCAACUCCGCGUCGGCCAUUGAUACUGCUGGGCUUGAGCACUGUAGAGGCAGGCGGAAUUCCGGGUGUAGCGGUGGAAUGUGUAGAGAUCCGGAAGAACACCGGUGGCGAAGGCGGCCUGCUGGGCAGUAGCUGACACUGAGGCGCGACAGCGUGGGGAGCAAACAGG